RNAcentral lists this transfer RNA (74 nucleotides) under Acidimicrobiia bacterium. It matches the Rfam family "tRNA". Rfam says of the family: Transfer RNA (tRNA) molecules are approximately 80 nucleotides in length. Their secondary structure includes four short double-helical elements and three loops (D, anti-codon, and T loops). The record is from Rfam by way of RNAcentral. Lineage: Bacteria; Bacillati; Actinomycetota; Acidimicrobiia.
CGGGCUGUGGCGCAGUUUGGUAGCGCACUUGUCUGGGGGACAAGGGGUCGUGGGUUCAAAUCCCGCCAGCCCGA